ACUCAAAGGAAUUGACGGGGGCCCGCACAAGCAGCGGAGCGUGUGGUUUAAUUCGACGCAACGCGCAGCACCUUACCCAGACUUGACAUGCACCUGCACAGUGGGGAAACCCACUCGCCUUCGAGGGUGGUGCACAGAUGCUGCAUGGCUGUCGUCAGCUCGUGUCGUGAGAUGUUGGGUUAAGUCCCGCAACGAGCGCAACCCCCGCGGCCAGUUACACGUCUCUGGUCGGACAGCCCUUCGGGGAGGAAGGCGGGGAUGACGUCAAGUCCGCAUGGCUCUUACGUCUGGGGCGACACACACGCUACAAUGGCGCCGACAGUGCGCAGCGACUGAGCAAUCAGAAGCGAAUCGCCAAACGGCGCCCCAGUGCAGAUCGGGGGCUGCAACUCGCCCCCGUGAAGGCGGAGUUGCUAGUAACCGCGUAUCAGCCUUGGCGCGGUGAAUACGUACCCGGGCCUUGUACACACCGCCCGU
RNAcentral lists this ribosomal RNA (477 nucleotides) under uncultured bacterium. Its description in RNAcentral is "partial 16S ribosomal RNA". It matches the Rfam family "Bacterial small subunit ribosomal RNA", at positions 899 to 1397 of the family's 1533-position model. The record is from RNAcentral.